This 301-nucleotide ribosomal RNA is filed under the name uncultured bacterium. RNAcentral describes it as "partial 16S ribosomal RNA". It matches the Rfam family "Bacterial small subunit ribosomal RNA", at positions 509 to 807 of the family's 1533-position model. The record is from RNAcentral.
CAGUAGCCGCGGUAAUACGUAGGUGGCAAGCGUUGUCCGGAAUUAUUGGGCGUAAAGGGCUCGCAGGCGGUUUCUUAAGUCUGAUGUGAAAGCCCCCGGCUCAACCGGGGAGGGUCAUUGGAAACUGGGAAACUUGAGUGCAGAAGAGGAGAGUGGAAUUCCACGUGUAGCGGUGAAAUGCGUAGAGAUGUGGAGGAACACCAGUGGCGAAGGCGACUCUCUGGUCAGUAACUGACGCUGAGGAGCGAAAGCGUGGGGAGCGAACAGGAUUAGAUACCCGAGUAGUCCCUGUCUCUUAUAC